AGAGUUUGAUCAUGGCUCAGGACGAACGCUGGCGGCGUGCCUAACACAUGCAAGUCGAACGGAGCCGGCCCCGCAAGGGACAGGCUUAGUGGCGAACGGGUGAGUAACGCGUGAGGAACCUGGCUUUCAGUGGGGGACAACAGCUGGAAACGGCUGCUAAUACCGCAUAACACUUCAGUGCCGCAUGGGAUUGAAGUCAAAGCUUGAUGUGCUGAAAGAUGGUCUCGCGUCUGAUUAGCUAGUAGGCGGGGUAAGGGCCCACCUAGGCGACGAUCAGUAGCCGGUCUGAGAGGAUGAACGGCCACAUUGGGACUGAGAUACGGCCCAGACUCCUACGGGAGGCAGCAGUGGGGAAUAUUGGGCAAUGGGCGAAAGCCUGACCCAGCAACGCCGCGUGAAGGAAGAAGGCUUUCGGGUUGUAAACUUCUUUUACCAGGGACGAAGGACGUGACGGUACCUGGAGAAAAAGCCACGGCUAACUACGUGCCAGCAGCCGCGGUAAUACGUAGGUGGCAAGCGUUGUCCGGAUUUACUGGGUGUAAAGGGCGUGUAGGCGGAUUUGCAAGUCAGAUGUGAAAUACCGCAGCUCAACUGCGGAGCUGCAUUUGAAACUGCAGACCUUGAGUAUCGGAGAGGCAAGCGGAAUUCCUAGUGUAGCGGUGAAAUGCGUAGAUAUUAGGAGGAACACCAGUGGCGAAGGCGGCUUGCUGGACGACAACUGACGCUGAGGCGCGAAAGCGUGGGGAGCAAACAGGAUUAGAUACCCUGGUAGUCCACGCUGUAAACGAUGAAUACUAGGU
This 800-nucleotide ribosomal RNA is filed under the name uncultured bacterium. RNAcentral's name for it is "bacterial SSU rRNA". It matches the Rfam family "Bacterial small subunit ribosomal RNA", at positions 8 to 821 of the family's 1533-position model. The record is from RNAcentral.